UAGGGAAUCUUCGGCAAUGGACGGAAGUCUGACCGAGCAACGCCGCGUGAGUGAAGGAGGUUUUCGGAUCGUAAAGCUCUGUUGUAAGAGAAGAACGAGUGUGAGAGUGGAAAGUUCACACUGUGACGGUAUCUUACCAGAAAGGGACGGCUAACUACGUGCCAGCAGCCGCGGUAAUACGUAGGUCCCGAGCGUUGUCCGGAUUUAUUGGGCGUAAAGCGAGCGCAGGCGGUUAGAUAAGUCUGAAGUUAAAGGCUGUGGCUUAACCAUAGUACGCUUUGGAAACUGUUUAACUUGAGUGCAAGAGGGGAGAGUGGAAUUCCAUGUGUAGCGGUGAAAUGCGUAGAUAUAUGGAGGAACACCGGUGGCGAAAGCGGCUCUCUGGCUUGUAACUGACGCUGAGGCUCGAAAGCGUGGGGAGCAAACAGGAUUAGAUACCCUGGUAGUCCACGCCGUAACGAUGAGUGCUAGGUGUUAGACCCUUUCCGGGGUUUAGUGCCGCAGCUAACGCAUUAAGCACUCCGCCUGGGGAGUACGACCGCAAGGUU
This 548-nucleotide ribosomal RNA is filed under the name uncultured bacterium. Its description in RNAcentral is "bacterial SSU rRNA". It matches the Rfam family "Bacterial small subunit ribosomal RNA", at positions 355 to 895 of the family's 1533-position model. The record is from RNAcentral.